Molecule: ribosomal RNA, 373 nt
Filed under: uncultured organism
Description: partial 16S ribosomal RNA
Rfam family: Bacterial small subunit ribosomal RNA
Source: RNAcentral
GUAGGUGGCAAGCGUUGUCCGGAAUUAUUGGGCGUAAGGCGCGCGCAGGUGGUUCUUUAAGUCUGAUGUGAAAGCCCCCGGCUCAACCGGGGAGGGUCAUUGGAAACUGGGGAACUUGAGUGCAGGAGAGGAGAGUGGAAUUCCACGUGUAGCGGUGAAAUGCGUAGAUAUGUGGAGGAACACCAGUGGCGAAGGCGACUUUCUGGCCUGUAACUGACACUGAGGCGCGAAAGCGUGGGGAGCAAACAGGGAUUAGAUACCCUGGUAGUCCACGCCGUAAACGAUGAGUGCUAAGUGUUGGGGGGGUUUCCCGCCCCUCAGUGCUGCAGCUAACGCAUUAAGCACUCCGCCUGGGGAUACGGUCGCAAGACUG